Molecule: ribosomal RNA, 468 nt
Filed under: uncultured bacterium
Lineage: Bacteria
Description: partial 16S ribosomal RNA
Rfam family: Bacterial small subunit ribosomal RNA
Source: RNAcentral
GACGAACGCUGGCGGCGUGCUUAACACAUGCAAGUCGAACGGAAAGGCCCUGCUUUUGUGGGGUGCUCGAGUGGCGAACGGGUGAGUAACACGUGAGUAACCUGCCCUUGACUUUGGGAUAACUUCAGGAAACUGGGGCUAAUACCGGAUAGGAGCUCCUGCUGCAUGGUGGGGGUUGGAAAGUUUCGGCGGUUGGGGAUGGACUCGCGGCUUAUCAGCUUGUUGGUGGGGUAGUGGCUUACCAAGGCUUUGACGGGUAGCCGGCCUGAGAGGGUGACCGGGCACAUUGGGAAUUGGGAAACGGCCCGAACCCUACGGGGAGCAAGAGGGGGGGAUUAUUGCACAAGGGGCGGAGGCCUGAGGCGGAAACGCCGGGGGGGGAAUAACGGCCUUCGGGUUGUAACCGGCUUUCGCCUGGAACGAAGCGUGGGGAAGGUAAUGGGUAAAGAAGCACCGGCUAACUACGUG